This is an RNA transcript of Rhinopithecus roxellana (golden snub-nosed monkey), 362 nucleotides long. It is a transcript of the gene named 60S ribosomal protein L37 pseudogene, with no coding region annotated. The transcript has a single exon. The record is from RefSeq and is a predicted model, not a curated record. NCBI's taxonomy places the organism in Eukaryota, Metazoa, Chordata, Mammalia, Primates, Cercopithecidae.
UGGUCUCGGCUGCAGAAGCGAGAUGAUGAAGGGAACGUCAUCGUUUGGAAAGCGUCGCAAUAAGACGCACACAUUGUGCCGCCGCUGUGGCUCUAAGGCCUACCACCUUCAGAAGUUGACCUGUGGCAAAUGUGGCUACCCUGCCAAGCGCAAAAGAAAGUAUAACCGGAGUGCCAAGGCUAAAAGACGAAAUACCACCAGAACUGGUCGAAUGAGGCACCUAAAAAUUGUAAUACCGCAGAUUCAGGCAUGGAUUCCGUGAAGGAACAACACCUAAACCCAAGAGGGCAGCUGUUGCAGCAUCCAGUUCAUCUUAAGAAUGUCAACGAUUAGUCACGCAAUAAAUGUUCUGGUUUUAAAAA